AGGUGGCCGGUCGGGCUGGAAGGGCGGGGAUGAGGGAUGGGACGCAUCCCCGGGGGAUGCUCCUCCAAAGCUUUUAUCGGGCGAGCGCAGUGGCUCACGCCUGUAAUUCCUGCACUUUGGGAGGCUAAGGAUGAAAGGCUUCCUAGCACAAACACCACCCCUGGAGUUCCCGGUACAUCAAUACCAGCCUGGGGAUCACGUUCUCAUCAAGAGUUGGAAGAGGGAAAGCUUGAACCAGCUUAGGAGGACCUCAUCUGGUACUCUUGAUGAAUGAAACAGCAAUCUGAAUGGCUGAAAAAGGAUGGACCCAGCACUCCAGACAGUUUCGCUCUUGUCACCCAGGCUGGAGGGCAGUGGCGGGAUCUCGGCUCAAUGCAACCUCCGCCUCCCGGGUUAAAGUGAUUCUCUUGCCUCAGCCUCCGGAGUAGCUGUGAACAUGCCGGAAGAGAUAGGUUCCAGA
RNAcentral lists this long non-coding RNA (460 nucleotides) under Homo sapiens (human). RNAcentral's name for it is "ZNF561 antisense RNA 1". The record is from RNAcentral. Lineage: Eukaryota; Metazoa; Chordata; Mammalia; Primates; Hominidae.